ACGAUGCACCACAAUGAAAUAUUGACGAAAAUACAGGGAAUGAUAAAAAAAUAACCUUACUAAGGGUGGAGUUGACGUUGUAGACGGAAUGAGUGCAACAUACAAUGUAGCUAGAAACACAAGAAGAUGUCCAAUGGUUGUUUUUUAUCGCAUCAUGAACACACAGCUGCGAUAAAUGCUGCUAUUAUUUACAACUCAAAUCAGAAGAACAACUGAGAAGAAGAGAGUUUUCGAGGUAGCUUUUUUUUCGCUUCUGCAUGAUCAUUUUCAGCAAAGAGUAAUGUCACAAACAUUGCCAAGGAAGAUAACUGAAAGAACUGGAGAGCUUUGCAGUGUGAAAAUUUCUGAAGUGGAAUCAACUGCGACUUCACGAGGACGGCGUGUGGAUUGCAGAAGCACAAACAGAAAAACAAGAUAUAUUUGUAAGAACCGCAAGGAAUACAUUUGCCUUGAACAUUCUGUUGCUGUGUGCCAAGACUGUAUCGAUAAAAUAUCUGAUUGAAUACAUCCAUUAUUUUGAUAACAGUUAAAUUUUAUGUAUCUCCAUUUGUGUAAAUAUUUUUGACCAAAAUAUUAAAUUUAUCCUGUAAAUAUAUUUACUAAACAGAUUUGUAAUGAUAUUACUUCAUUCAAUAACGCUUUCCUCCAUAAUAUAUAACUAAAUGCAAAUUCAGAAAGAUAGAAACUACAAGGGUCUGUGAGACCUGCUGCGUGUACUGAAGGACGACAUUUCAAAGUUCGCGGCGUCAAAGGGAAAAAUUACAUUAAUCAAACGAGAAACGACAGUCGGAAGCGCAUCAGAGACCGAGAGACGUAACUUUGUGCAGGCCGCAGGGAAAUGGGUGUGUCCAAGCUACUGCGAAGUAACAGGACGUAGUAUUUGCAAACGAACAGGAGAAAACGUCCAGAUCAAUUACACGAAAUCGCGUUUGAUAUAUAAAACAUACUUGUCACAGCUAAGAACUUGGAAAACACGACAACGGAAAAUAAUAAGAUACCCAUUGAGGAUGCUACAACUGUGAUGAACCACGUUUGGGUGACAAAGUAAACCAAUAAUUUGUGUACUUACAAAAAGGUGGACUCAUCGUUAAUUCAUUAACAUUUUUCUGCAAGCACUGAAACUGAGUCCAAACUCAAAUAGGCCAAUGAUGUAAACAGACUGUUGUUUUAUAGAAGAUGAGAAGCUGAAACUCUCAGGAAUACCUGUAAUACUACCUUUACGACAUAGUUCUCCAGUUGGACAACUCUUAAAGUUGUUGGGCAUAUAACUGAUGAACUGCAAGAGGAAAUUAUCAACAAAUGAAGCCUUCAAAGCAUGGUCUAUGGGCAAGUAUUUCACAGGGGAUACUCAGAAUCCACUAUUUUAUGUGUAUUAAUAAUCUUGUGUUGUCCAUAUGUUUGUUGUAAAAGUUGCGAAAUAGCGGUAAAGAAAUGUGUCGAAUAGCAAGUAUAGACCGUUGGGUCAGGAGAACUAAGGAAACUGAAUCCCUUUCACCGAAACCAGAUUUCACACAAUAAUGCCCAAAGUGAUACAAUGUAGUGGUAAAAUAUUGACAUAUUCUGUGAAAAUAUGUAUAACACUGUUGGAAAUAAAGAAUGUUAGCAGUCAUAA
Schistocerca piceifrons (Central American locust) is the source of this 1612-nucleotide long non-coding RNA. RefSeq lists it as uncharacterized. Lineage: Eukaryota; Metazoa; Arthropoda; Insecta; Orthoptera; Acrididae. The record is from RefSeq and is a predicted model, not a curated record. The transcript has 3 exons.